RNAcentral lists this ribosomal RNA (495 nucleotides) under uncultured bacterium. RNAcentral's name for it is "partial 16S ribosomal RNA". It matches the Rfam family "Bacterial small subunit ribosomal RNA", at positions 28 to 507 of the family's 1533-position model. The record is from RNAcentral.
GACGAACGCUGGCGGCGUGCCUAAUACAUGCAAGUAGAACGCUGAAGGAGGAGCUUGCUCUUCUGGAUGAGUUGCGAACGGGUGAGUAACGCGUAGGUAACCUGCCUGGUAGCGGGGGAUAACUAUUGGAAACGAUAGCUAAUACCGCAUAACAGUAGAUGUUGCAUGACAUUUGCUUAAAAGGUGCAAUUGCACCACUACCAGAUGGACCUGCGUUGUAUUAGCUAGUUGGUGGGGUAACGGCUCACCAAGGCGACGAUACAUAGCCGACCUGAGAGGGGGAUCGGCCACACUGGGACUGAGACACGGCCCAGACGCCUACGGGAGGCAGCAGUAGGGAAUCUUCGGCAAUGGACGGAAGUCUGACCGAGCAACGCCGCGUGAGUGAAGAAGGUUUUCGGAUCGUAAAGCUCUGUUGUAAGAGAAGAACGAGUGUGAGAGUGGAAAGUUCACACUGUGACGGUAUCUUACCAGAAAGGGACGGCUAACUACGUG